CCCUUAGAUGUUCUGGGCUGCACACGCACUACACUGGCAGGUUCAGCGAGCUUCUUGCCCUGAUCUGAGAAGAAUGGGAAACCUUUUCAACACCUGCCGUGCUUGGGAUAGAUGUUUGCAAUUAUUCAUCUUCAACAAGGAUUGCCUUGUAGGCGUGCCUCAUCAGGGCACAUCGAAUACGACCCUGUAUUCUGUACACACCGCCCGUCGCUCCUACCGAUUGAAUGAUUUAGUGAGGACUUCGGACUGGGACCGAUGCGGCUUUCGGGCUGCGUCGGUAUUCUGGAAAGAUGUCCAAACUGUAUCAUUUAGAGGAAGUAAAAGUCGUANCA
RNAcentral lists this ribosomal RNA (332 nucleotides) under uncultured eukaryote. RNAcentral describes it as "partial 18S ribosomal RNA". It matches the Rfam family "Eukaryotic small subunit ribosomal RNA", at positions 1470 to 1796 of the family's 1831-position model. The record is from RNAcentral.